This is a long non-coding RNA of Mercenaria mercenaria, 5150 nucleotides long. RefSeq lists it as uncharacterized. NCBI's taxonomy places the organism in Eukaryota, Metazoa, Mollusca, Bivalvia, Venerida, Veneridae. The transcript has 5 exons. The record is from RefSeq and is a predicted model, not a curated record.
GGAUUUUAAAGGAAAAUUGGCAGAGGUAAAGAAGACAAAUUAUGGUGCAAAAAGUAGAAAUAUCACAAGUUAACAGUCAAUAAUGGAAGUGACUCCAGCCAGUAACUCAAUAAGUCGUGAGCUUGCAAGGUAUGUCACAGAAAGGCGGGUUUAUGGACCUGCUGCAGAUUUACCCAGUCUUGCUUAAACCAGAACUUAUGAUCUACAACAUGAUUCUACAGCUGCCAAUGAACUUCGGUAGAAGAGCUGGAGGGGAAUGGGGUGAGCAGAUUGCAGUACAGUCAAACCUGUCUAUAAAGACCACCCUUGGAAGAGCCAAAAUGUGGUCUUUAUUGGGAGGUGGUCAUUAUUCACAGGUUAAAAUAUAUUGUGAAUGUUCAAAUGGGAAACAAAACAUGUGUUCUUUAGAGCCAGAUGGUCUCUGUUCAGAGGUGGUCUUUAAAACAGGUUUGACUGUAUACACAUCAGUGGAAGUGGAACAGGCAGAUUUCAAUACAUACUACAUCAGUGGGAAAAGCGCAAUGAAGUUCAGCUGUUUCCAGCUUGAAACACAUGAGGUUGAAGUUGCAAGUAGAGACUGACAAUGACUGGACAGAAAAUGAUGAUGGUGAAGAACUAUAGAAAACUGUGGAAAACUUUUAAUAGUGGCCAUCAACAAGCAGUCAUUGAUCCAGUAUUCCAGCCAAUGUAUCCGUCUUCACACAAGAAGCAAUACCAGGAAAUAUGUGACAUUCAUCAGCCAGGUAGUCAUUUACUCCAAGUGGCAAAGUUAGAGACCCAUACCCAUUCUUGGAAAAGGAGUGGAUUGUUUUGUGCUGCGGACACCACAGAAUAGUGGAUUUGAAAGUUUAACUUUUCAAUAUGGGAAGAUGUCACACAAAGCCGCAUACCACAACAUAUCGCUGUAGCACAGAUAUCUAUGUCACACCUAAAAGGGAAAUUUCACCAGAGGCACAUAGGAUCACCAGGAUUUCAUGCAAUAUUCAGACACAAUGAUGGUAAAAAGCACGAUAGUCCAACACAUCUGUACCUGGAAUUAAGUUGACUGUAGAGAAAUUGUGUACUUGACUUGAAAAGAUCUUACAGUGAUUUUAGUAGCCUGUUAUAGAAGACAAUUUGAUUUUCCAGUUCUUGUCUCAGCUCUGCUGUGCACAAGUAUAACUAGGACAUUAUUCAGCUGAGUUUCUUCUAAAAAGUAUUUACCAGUGUUCAAGAAACUACCCUAGACAGUCAUACUUGCUAUGACUUGUGACUUGGUAUCCGGUAUAAUGCCUAUAACUGACAGACAAAUUUAUUAUGAAAAGCUGGGAAGGCCUGCCAAGGGUUUUCAUAUGUUAAAGAAAAAUUUCAAGCAAUGAUGUAUACUGAUGAUAAAUUUGGUGCAAUAAUGUUCAUUAUGUUAAGAAGAAUCUGACAGAUGUUAUUAGAAAUUCGAAUUGUGUUAUUUUACUCUAUAUUUAAGAAAAUUGAUAUAUUAAAACUUGUAAAUUUUAUCAUUUGUUAAGAUGUUACAUUAUAGCUUGAAGCCUUAAUGCACUCUUUCUACAAUCUGCCUGAAGAAACACUUCAAUUGUUUUUGUGUAUUAGUUUUUUUAGCCAUUUCCUGGAUUAAAAAUACACAAACUUCUAGCUCAAGACUUCCUAAGGUUUGACAAGUAACUUUCUUUGAUUUUGCUCAAGUUUGUUAAUUAUUGUUAAAAUACUCUUGUUCAAAAUUUUAAAAGGUGCAAAACCUUUAGCCUGCUUGUAGUAAUUGAUUCUGCCUUUGCGACCAGUGCAGACCAAGAUCAGCCUGUACAUCUGUGUAGUCUGAUCAUCAGGUCAGCUUGCUAUUCAGUAAGUAAAUUUUUAGUGAUAACCACUUCAGAUAAUAAAUGGUACUGCCAAAUUUGAAUGAUAAGAUCAGUCCAUUUCAGAAAUUUAGCAGGUUAAAGGUUAAAUAAUAUCCUUCAGCAACAGAUGUUAUCUUUAAAUAGUAAAGUAAGGAGAAGACAACCUUUACUGUAAGCUAAUAUAGCUUUCUGUCCAAUGCCUGAAAUGUUUUUUGAAAUAUUUCAUGACUUUCUGAAUAAUAACGUUUAAAUUAAAAUUAUAUAAGUACAUAAACCCCAAACUUUUAAGGAGCAAGAAGACAAAAUUUCAACUUUUGUAUAAAAUUAACUUUGUGAUAUUUUUCUUAGUGAUAAGUUUCUCAGUGAUAACUAGACAUUUAAUUUUAUAUCUGUGUAGAUUUUUGUACAGUUAAUUCAGGUGUAUACAAGACAAUAAUUAGAAAGAUUUUUUUAUGUUUUAAGCUUAACCUAAUUAUUUAUGUUAGAGAAAAAUGUUAAAUUUUAAUUACUUUAUAAGUAUAUGUGUAAAUCCUAUUUCAUUAUUCAGGGCGGCGUCGAGUAUAUGGGAUACACUAGCUUUUAUUUCGGACCCUGUAAAGAUGGUAAUGAAUAGUUUUGGAGUGAUAAAUUGAAUACAGUGAAUAGUUUGUAAAAGGAUCAACGAUAUUGCACAAUACAUUUUAGUAAAUAAACAAAAAAAUGGCAAAAAGAAAACAUAAAAAAUGUAUGUAAUGCAACUUAUUAUGUGAUUUAAAACAAUGCUAUCUGUCUUUCCUCUCCUUAUUUGUAGAGCAGAACAUAUUUUUUAGUUUUCAACUGUCCGUCCGUCCGUUCGUUAGUUCAUUCGUUAGUCACAACGUUAACUUUUUGCAUGAAAGCACUUUACUCGCGAACCACUGCACCCAGGACCUUCAAACUUCACAUGCUGAUAGUAUUUAUUGAGUACACCACCCCUACUGACUUUGGGGUCACCAGGUCAAAGGUGCUGCGGGGGCAUUUGUCACCAUUAGUGACAGCUCUUGUUUUAUUUACAAUUUUGUCAAAAAUGUUGAUCCGAUUUAUUGAUAAGGGAGGUUACUCUGUAUGUCAAGUUUUCUAUUUCUAUUCUUAGCAUGACCUACUUUCCUAUCUCGUUUUCUAUAACACUCCGCAGAUAUACCAUACUGCAACGCAUGAAUAGCCUUGACAAGGGAGCGUUUGUGUAUUUUACAAUAAUCUUGCAGUAAACUUCGAAGAGAAUAUUAAAAAAAAUUAUGGAAAAUUACAAUUUGCCUGCAUAAAAAUUCCUUGAAAAAAAACAACGUAUUUACAAAGUAAAUAAAGGAAUCAAUAAGCAUAGAUAGAUCUAUGUUAAAAUGAACGAAGGAAGUGCCGCUGUUAACUUAUUUUUAACCUUUUGUCUUAUUUUCUUUGUUGAUAGGUACAGUGAUGUAAUUUCAGAAUGCGCACAUUUUUGUAAAUUCCUAUUUCUAUUUGUUUUUUUUUUGUUUGUUUGGUUUUUUAUUCUUUUUUCUUUCUUUUUUUUUUGCUUAUGUGUCAUAUAGAUCUACUCAUUGUUUACAGAUAUACACUGUCAACUAAGGUAUGCAGUAGGCUAAAGAGCAUUUGGCAGAAUUUGUCAGUGACAAGUUAAUACUUCUUUAACUGUGGUUAGAUCGAAAUAUCAAAAGUCAUGGGACCAUAACUUAUCAAAGCAUCAGUGACUUUAAAAUAGAAUUCCUUGUUGAAUUUAUAUGUUCAGUGAUCUUAUAUGACUAGUCAGUUGCUCUGGUUUUAUUAUAUCUUGUUACUUGCAUCUUUUUUUUUUCUUUUUUCUUUUUAAUUUAAUAGAUAGUUUUUGUUAAAAAAACAAAAACAAAAAAAAACAACAUUUUCAUUGAAAUAUUUUCUACACUUUGGCAGUGGGUUAUUAUGCUUGCUAAAUUUCUUGUAAUAUUAGAUUUGAAUCUAGACACUGACAUACUCCUAGUAACCUUACAGUUCAACGAGGACUUCAAGUUUAUUGUUCUUCCGAAAAAAAAUGAAUUCUAUGAUAUUCGAAAGUAUAUUAAGAAAGAUUAAUGCUUUGUGGAUAGGGGAAAUAUAGAGAUUAUUUAUGUUAUAUCAUUCUUUUCUUGGACAAAAUUUUUGGUUGUUUUUGGCAACGGAAACAGUAAAUUGCUGUGUAUAAUCUGCAUUCUGAAAUCUAUAAUGUAGGUGACUAAGGUCCAUAAAACUUCAUCAGUAAAUAGAAAACACUCAUUACAUUACAUGAUAAUAAAAAUAAUGGUUUCUGUGAACCACAACUUUGAAAUUAUUUCAACAUUUCCUCAUUUCACAACACACUGCAUUUCUGUGAAACUUCAUACACACGCUCCUGCAUAUAAGAAUUUUCACAGGAGGUGACCUUAGUUAGUGAAAUAAUUACUUUAAUUUUGUAUGUAAAGGGACCACCUACUUGCAAUGUUAAUGUCAUUGCAGGUAGAUCGAGGAUUUGUAUUGCAUGGUAAAACUUUUCUAUCAUGUUCAUUCUUCAUGUUUUAAACAGUUUAUAACAUAAUUGUUUUAUGUGCUAAUGUUGAUAACUUGUAGCCAGUCAGACUAAUAAAGAAAUGAGUAGGUGAUUUCUUAUAUUGCAAUAAAUGUACUUCAGACACAACACUUGCGGCGUCUUUGAUGCUUGCAUCAAUGAAUUUCCUUGUACUUACAUAUUAUUGAAAGCUGAGGGACUCCAUUGGAAAUAAGUGACCUGUUACUUUCAUGGUUUAUCCCAAGCAGAAAGAUCAUUUUUUCCUGAUAUUUAUGUACAUGUAUUAGCUUGAUUACACGUGUAAAGUACAAACAAAAUUAUAAGGGUUUACUGCAUAUUAAUUAAUUCUAAUAUUUUUGAUUUCUGUACCACUUUGUAUUUUUGUUAUAAUUGGAUCUUAUGCCUGAAUAAAAUUGAAUUGAAUUGAACUGAAUUAGAUUUUAAACUGAAACUGAAUGUAACUGAAAUGAAUUUUAAACUGAACUGAACUGAAUUCUAAACUGAACUAAACUGAAACUGAACUGAACUGAACUGAACUGAACUGAACUGAAUAUUUAUUAGCUGGGUAAAAAACUACAGUACAUCUUGCAAAAAGAGACCACCAGAGGGAAGGAAAAAACAUGUUCUAUUUAUGCAACAUAUUUUGUUCUUUGAUAACAUAAAAAAGGGAACUGAAAAAGUGAUCUUUUAAUGCAAUAGUCUAUAAAUCAAAUGUACUUGAUGAAACUUAUUAUGCUUUUGUGCUGCAAAUUUUGUAAUGUAGUUUUGUUGUGUCUAUGAUGAUUUCUCUAAAUAAACUUGAAACAUUA